Molecule: microRNA, 21 nt
Filed under: Triticum aestivum (bread wheat)
Lineage: Eukaryota; Viridiplantae; Streptophyta; Magnoliopsida; Poales; Poaceae
Description: tae-miR5384-3p
Source: miRBase by way of RNAcentral
UGAGCGCGCCGCCGUCGAAUG